CUUGACCGAGCCGAGCCACAGCGGGCGCCCGGCCGUCCGGUGCUCGCCGUAGGUCGUGAGCAGUGCCUGUGCCUC
This 75-nucleotide antisense RNA is filed under the name Amycolatopsis australiensis. RNAcentral's name for it is "ASpks TB sRNA". It matches the Rfam family "ASpks TB sRNA". The record is from RNAcentral. Lineage: Bacteria; Bacillati; Actinomycetota; Actinomycetes; Pseudonocardiales; Pseudonocardiaceae.